RNAcentral lists this ribosomal RNA (759 nucleotides) under uncultured Prevotella sp. RNAcentral describes it as "bacterial SSU rRNA". It matches the Rfam family "Bacterial small subunit ribosomal RNA", at positions 28 to 776 of the family's 1533-position model. Lineage: Bacteria; Pseudomonadati; Bacteroidota; Bacteroidia; Bacteroidales; Prevotellaceae. The record is from RNAcentral.
GAUGAACGCUAGCUACAGGCUUAACACAUGCAAGUCGCGGGGCAGCAUGGGGGUUGCUUGCAACCCCCGAUGGCGACCGGCGCACGGGUGAGUAACGCGUAUCCAACCUGCCCUUCACCACGGGAUAACCCGGCGAAAGUCGGACUAAUACCGUAUGUUGUCCAUUGACGGCAUCCGAUUUGGACGAAAGGUUUGGCGGUGAAGGAUGGGGAUGCGUCCGAUUAGCCAGACGGCGGGGUAACGGCCCACCGUGGCUACGAUCGGUAGGGGUUCUGAGAGGAAGGUCCCCCACACUGGAACUGAGACACGGUCCAGACUCCUACGGGAGGCAGCAGUGAGGAAUAUUGGUCAAUGGGCGUAAGCCUGAACCAGCCAAGUAGCGUGCAGGAUGACGGCCCUAUGGGUUGUAAACUGCUUUUAUGCGGGGAUAAAGUGGCCCACGUGUGGGCUUUUGCAGGUACCGCAUGAAUAAGGACCGGCUAAUUCCGUGCCAGCAGCCGCGGUAAUACGGAAGGUCCGGGCGUUAUCCGGAUUUAUUGGGUUUAAAGGGAGCGUAGGCCGCGCCUUAAGCGUGUUGUGAAAUCCGGGUGCUCAACAUCCGGCUUGCAGCGCGAACUGGGGCGCUUGAGUGCGCUGAAAGUAGGCGGAAUUCGUGGUGUAGCGGUGAAAUGCUUAGAUAUCACGAGGAACUCCGAUUGCGAAGGCAGCCUACUGUAGCGCUACUGACGCUGAUGCUCGAAAGCGUGGGUAUCGAACAGG